GACGAACGCUGGCGGCGUGCUUAACACAUGCAAGUCGAACGGAAAGGCCCUGCUUUUGUGGGGUGCUCGAGUGGCGAACGGGUGAGUAACACGUGAGUAACCUGCCCUUGACUUUGGGAUAACUUCAGGAAACUGGGGCUAAUACCGGAUAGGAGCUCCUGCUGCAUGGUGGGGGUUGGAAAGUUUCGGCGGUUGGGGAUGGACUCGCGGCUUAUCAGCUUGUUGGUGGGGUAGUGGCUUACCAAGGCUUUGACGGGUAGCCGGCCUGAGAGGGGGACCGGCCACAUUGGGACUGAGAUACGGCCCAGACUCCUACGGGAGGCAGCAGGGGGGAAUAUUGCACAAUGGGCGGAAGCCUGAGGCAGCAACGCCGCGUGCGUGAUGACGGCCUUCGGGUUGUAAACCGCUUUCGCCUGUGACGAAGCGUGAGUGACGGUAAUGGGUAAAGAAGCACCGGCUAACUACGUG
This 468-nucleotide ribosomal RNA is filed under the name uncultured bacterium. RNAcentral's name for it is "partial 16S ribosomal RNA". It matches the Rfam family "Bacterial small subunit ribosomal RNA", at positions 28 to 507 of the family's 1533-position model. The record is from RNAcentral.